UUGGAAUGAUGGUGACUUAAACCCUCACCAGAGUACCAAUUGGAGGGCAAGUCUGGUGCCAGCAGCCGCGGUAAUUCCAGCUCCAAUAGCGUAUAUUAAACUUGUUGCAGUUAAAAAGCUCGUAGUUGAAUUUCAGCGUUUCGCGUGUGCCUCUUUUGGCCCAUCUCGUCUCGCUUUUUUUAUUACUUUGAGAAAAUUAGAGUGUUUCAAGCAGGCUUUUGUCUUGAAUACUUGAGCAUGGAAUAAUAGAGUAGGACCUUGGUUCUAUUUUGUUGGUUUUGUUACCUUGGUAAUGGUUAAUAGGAACGGUUGGGGGCAUUCGUAUUUAACUGUCAGAGGUGAAAUUCUUAGAUUUGUUAAAGACGAACUACUGCGAAAGCAUUUGCCAAGGACGUUUCCAUUAAUCAAGAACGAAAGUUAGGGGAUCGAAGACGAUCAGAUACCGUCGUAGUCCUAACCAU
This 461-nucleotide ribosomal RNA is filed under the name Babesia occultans. RNAcentral describes it as "SSU rRNA". It matches the Rfam family "Eukaryotic small subunit ribosomal RNA", at positions 509 to 1033 of the family's 1831-position model. Lineage: Eukaryota; Apicomplexa; Aconoidasida; Piroplasmida; Babesiidae. The record is from RNAcentral.